RNAcentral lists this transfer RNA (78 nucleotides) under Marmota monax (woodchuck). Its description in RNAcentral is "tRNA.Ala". The record is from RNAcentral. Lineage: Eukaryota; Metazoa; Chordata; Mammalia; Rodentia; Sciuridae.
AUGGGGUUAUAGCUCAGUGGUAGAGUGCUUGCUUAGCAUGUGUGAUGAUGCACUGAGUUCAAUCCUCAGCACCACAUA